CGAACGCUGGCGGCGUGCUUACCACAUGCAAGUCGACCAGAAAGGCCUGCUUUCCCUUGUGGAUUGCGGGUGCUCGAGUGGCGAACGGGUGAGUAACACGUGAGUGAUCUGCCCCCAACUUGGGUAUAAGCCUGGGAAACUGGGUCUAAUUCCCGAUAGGACUGCAGGGUGGUGCCUGUGGUGGAAAACGAUUUUCUAGUGGUUGGGGAUGAGCUCGCGGCCUAUCAGCUUGUUGGUGGGGUAAUGGCCUACCAAGGCGGCGACGGGUAGCCGGCCUGAGAGGGUGGACGGCCACAUUGGGACUGAGAUACGGCCCAGACUCCUACGGGAGGCAGCAGUGGGGAAUAUUGCACAAUGGGCGGAAGCCUGAUGCAGCGACGCCGCGUGGGGGAUGACGGCCUUCGGGUGGUAAACUCCUUUCGACCGCGAGGAAGCCACCUGGUUGGAAGGGUGGUGACGGUAGUGGUAGAAGAAGCACCGGCUAACUACGUG
Molecule: ribosomal RNA, 492 nt
Filed under: uncultured bacterium
Lineage: Bacteria
Description: partial 16S ribosomal RNA
Rfam family: Bacterial small subunit ribosomal RNA
Source: RNAcentral